Molecule: long non-coding RNA, 2867 nt
Filed under: Triticum aestivum (bread wheat)
Lineage: Eukaryota; Viridiplantae; Streptophyta; Magnoliopsida; Poales; Poaceae
Description: long non-coding RNA (TAES_LNC004146)
Source: RNAcentral
UGGUUUGUCCUUGUGGUAAGAGAACUAGCAUCAAUUAGUGCAGACUUUGCUUUUUAUGCAAGAAUUUGUUAAGGUAAAUAUUCCAUAUUAUAUCCAUGAUUCUGAAGAAACAUUGUGCAACAAUUUCCUGUAAUAUAUAUCUUCGGAUGAAUUGGUAGUCACACACCCACGACACUUUACCUUUGAAGCCUGUAUAUAUUUGUGAGUGUACAAGCAUAAUUAGUUAUAGGGGAGAAAGAUGCUGCUCUUCUCUCGAAGACCACAAAGGUUCAUGCCCUUUGCCGAUUGAUUUUUCUUUAUUGUAUUGAUCAGCUUUGCCAAGUCAUUUGUGGUAUUUAGCAUUCUCAAAUUUUUAUAUUUAGCUAAAUUUAAUCUUGACCUGAUUUGCUCUGCCCAAUACACGCAUGAUGCCUUUUCUUUUCCAUCAACUGGAUGCAAGAUUAGUUUACCCUUUAGACUUUGUGUUAGAUUAGCCUUUCCUGUAUAUCUUUGAUGGAUCAACUGUGUUCGAUUGUAGGUACUGUAUAUACGUUCUUUGAUGGAUCAGCUGCGUUAGAUUGUAGAUACUGCUGAGAACAAAGUUGUAUUUGGAUAUGAUAUUAGUUUUACAAUCAUUUUUUUUGCUAAUUUUAAUCUGAUGCAAAAGAGUUCAGUAUAAUUAAAAUUUGGUUUCAUACAGAAGCUCCAUCAUUGGAAUCAGUAUACGUCUGCUGAUAAAUCCCUUUGUAUGAUCAUGCUUUUUAGGAAUUGAUAUUCCAAUCAAUCUGUUGAUGUGGUGUUUGUCGGAGGCGAAGGGUAGCGACGGUUUCAUUCUGAGAUCGUCUUCCUCGAGGUACAUUCAUGAGUCAGUGCGUCACUUCAGUUCACCUUACCACAAAUGCUUUGCGGGCUGCUCUCUCAUCUGAGUAUGUACGCCUUGUAUAUUGCAGUUCUUCCUAAGCGAGUAUUAUUGCAGAUCCCAGAAGAAGACUAACUUCUGCUUGUUUCCACCACCACAAUAUUUUCUUCAUUGGCAGGAUUACUGCUACAACCAAACUUAGAAUCAUGCUAGGUAUGCAUAUUCGGAGUAUAAGAUUAUGAUGACAAGUUCUGAGAAUCCGAGCAUCUGAGGUGAGCUUCCCGGCGAUGGCGGCGACGCUCGUGGGCAUCGCGGCGCUUGGGGAUGCAGCAGAUCCCCACCAGGCCGUGCUGGCACUUGGGGUACUCCCCGACGACGACGGCCCAGCGGCGGAUGGUGCGAGGGAGGCCGGCCACCGCGACGAGUUCCUCUUCCUCUCUCCCCGAUCUAGGUCAGAUCCCGUUUAACCCCCCUCCUGCCCUGAUUGCUUGUGCCAUGAUUUGCUCCGUGUUUGGAUGAGGAAGUAGACCAGCAGGAGGAAGAGAGGAUCUCAGGACGCGCUCCUUAUUGGAUUAUUGAAAUAUGCAGUAAUAAGAGAGAUUAAACGUGUUUAGAAGAGAGAGCACUAAGAUAAGAAGCAGCGAAGAAUAGAAUAGAAUAGCAAGUCAUAGUUUUAAGAGUAAAAAGAAUGAGAGAGUAACUAAGAAAUUAGAACAGAGAGAAGAUUUGCAGAGUUAAAAGAGUAUGAAUCCUACACUUUCUAGCUGAGAAUAGAUAGAGAGAAAGCAAGACACAAUCAGUUCUAGACACCAUAAAACCAUAAGUUGUAGCCUUGUACAGACAAGCAGAAGUACAAGAACAUGAGAUGAUGCAAAGAAGAGAGUGAUAUAGUGAGAAUACAUAAGUAAAUCUCGUCCGUACCUAAUUUGGGGGAAAAGAGAGAUGAAUUUGGGAGAGUCUUCUUCAGUCCAUGAUUCUUGGGGGCUGUAGAUUUUUUUGGUAGUGUACGUGUUGUGUCGUACCCACAAAUAUCUGUUCUGCACCAUGAUAGCAUGAGCUUGCUGCAGCCAUAUGGUUCUUAAGAGUAUGGUGCUUGUUAAAAAAAGAGUUUGAUAGUCUGAUUUGGUUCUCAUGGUGGUAUGUUUCCUAUCAUCUCCUUUUUUAGUUUCUAACUUUAUGCUUUCAUUUUUUCUCUUGGCCAGCAAGAGCAGUAGGAGGCGGCGGGGAGGAUGAGCAAGGAGGCGGCGGGAGGAAGAGAGAUUCUUGGCGGCGCGCUUGCCUUAUUGGACAUGUUGUGCAGCUCACUGUUUUUUUCUCUUGCCAUCAUCUCCAAUAGUGUCGAGUCCCCUUCCCGGCGCCAAUUGCAACACAUAUCUCCUUUGACUGAUUAGCCAUUGUUUCCCGCAGCCGGUUUAGUUUUGUCUCGAACAUCUGUUUUCUUUGAGAUUUGUUUUUGUCGUGUGCUGAUUAUUUAGACAUCCUCUCUGCCACCACAACCUAUCCAAGCAAGCAACAGAUCGAGGAGGAUGGAGGCACGGCGCGACGACGACCGUGGCAUAGAUCAAGAGCAUGGUCAUGGGCUCAUGGCCAGGGAGCGAAUCAGGCAUCCUGGAUCACGACGGAAGGUGGAAGCUGCGAGAGCUGCCCGAAGAAGAGGGCGAUGACAUGGGGUGGAGGCCGAGGAAGAGGGCGACGAAGAGGGGGUGGAAGAGGGUGUGUCUGUGGUUAUCGCCUUUCGAGACGACGCGACUUGAUGAUUUAGAUUCGCCUUCCGAGAUGAUGCGACGCGGCAAUUCAGAUUUCUCUCCUUCCUCGCCUCAAUGUCAUGCUCUGCUUCUCUAGCUUGUAGGUUGUGGCCUUUCUCUUCUCCUCUUGUUUCCUUGCAUUCUGAUCAAGCCAUGGUGCAUAUGUUGGAAAUAUGCCCUAGAGGCAAUAAUAAAUGGUUAUUAUUAUAUUUCUUUGUUCAUGAUAAUUGUCUAUUGUUCAUGCUAUAAUUGUAUUAUCCGGAAAUCGUAAUACAUGUGUGAAU